Long non-coding RNA from Astatotilapia calliptera (eastern happy), 918 nucleotides. The record is from Ensembl. NCBI's taxonomy places the organism in Eukaryota, Metazoa, Chordata, Actinopteri, Cichliformes, Cichlidae.
UUUCAUCAUUUCUUUUAGCUUCUUCUCCUCUGUGUGCACUCCCUGAAGGAAGAGCAUCUCACAUCAAGAAUUUUCCACAGAGAAGGACAAGUGCUGAAGCUCUGGCUGGGCACGGUGACAGGAUGCUUUCUGAUGCCCUGGGUUUGGAUGGUGAGUCACACUCUCAUGCACUCUCUAUCCAUGUGCCUGAGAACAUUUCUUAUAAAUGGAAUGACAUAGUAUCUGUUUAUAUGCACAUGACUGACUGUAAAACCGAGCUCUUUUGUUAAAUGGGAACUCACAAAUGUAAAGUUGAGUGGUCUCACUUGAAGCUCCACACCGAUAAUAUUGUGAAGAAAAUGUAAUCCAAAACUAAAAGCUGUAUUGAUCACGAUAGGCUGUUUUCCUGGAGUUAGAGGUAGUAUUUGACAAAGCUCAUCGUGUGUGUGUGUGUGUGUGUGUGUGUGUGUGUGUGUGUGUGUGUGUGUGUCUGUGUGUGUGUGUGUUUAGCCUCCAAAGUGGCAGGCUAAUUGACUUUCUGCUCGGCCUGUUGAUAGGCUAUGUAAAAUAAACCGCUCUGACUAUAAUAGAAUCCUGUUUUCUCCACUCAAGUUUUGGGUCAGGCUCAGACUCCCUCUACUGACCUGUCUAACUGAAAUGAAGAUCAACAUCUGAUAUAGUGUAGUAAAUUUUAGACACUCUCAGAAACACACCUGAGUAAAUUACUAGAGCACUGUAUUUAUGAAUGUACCUUCUCAUAAAAAUAAGACAAACAAAAAAAAAAAGAAAGAAAUUUAAUUAUGGUAACGUUAAGACAAUGCUGAAACAAGGAAAUAGACACAGAAAUCCAAAAAUGCCAAAUGUAAGUAUAAAUGAAUACCAGAAGAAUUCAUCAAAUCCAAUUCAAACAAGUGUAUGUCAUGUUAUUUUCACCCUUUG